GACGAACGCUGGCGGUGUGCUUCACACAUGCAAGUCGAACGGGGUAGCAAUACCCAGUGGCGGACGGGUGAGUAACGCGUAGAAAUCUGCCUUGAGAUGGGGGAUAACAGUCCGAAAGGACUGCUAAUACCGCAUAUGUAUGUGCUCGGACACGAGCGUAUAUGAAAGGAGUAAUCCGUCUUAAGAUGAGUCUGCGUCCGAUUAGCUAGUUGGUAGGGUAAAGGCCACCAAGGCGACGAUCGGUAGCUGGUCUGAGAGGAUGAUCAGCCACAAUGGGACUGAGACAUGGCCCAUACUCCUACGGGAGGCAGCAGUGGGGAAUUUUGCGCAAUGGGCGAAAGCCUGACGCAGCGACGCCGCGUGAGGGAUGACGGCCUGG
This 379-nucleotide ribosomal RNA is filed under the name uncultured bacterium. RNAcentral's name for it is "bacterial SSU rRNA". It matches the Rfam family "Bacterial small subunit ribosomal RNA", at positions 28 to 419 of the family's 1533-position model. The record is from RNAcentral.